This is a non-coding RNA of Mytilinidion resinicola, 94 nucleotides long. The record is from the annotation of a RefSeq genome assembly. Lineage: Eukaryota; Fungi; Ascomycota; Dothideomycetes; Mytilinidiales; Mytilinidiaceae.
GCCAGUGUAGUUUAGUUGGCUAUAAUGUGUUCGGCGCAGGAGCAUUGUAUUGCCCGCGCCGUGCAAGACCCGAAUUCGAUCCUCGGCGCUGGCC